RNAcentral lists this ribosomal RNA (517 nucleotides) under Calonectria canadiana. Its description in RNAcentral is "eukaryotic LSU rRNA". The stretch from base 151 to 304 matches the Rfam family "5.8S ribosomal RNA". The record is from RNAcentral. Lineage: Eukaryota; Fungi; Ascomycota; Sordariomycetes; Hypocreales; Nectriaceae.
CGGGAUCAUUACCGAGUUUACAACUCCCGAACCCCAUGUGAACAUACCUGUUUCGUUCCCUCGGCGGUGUCCGGCAACGGCCCGCCAGAGGACCCAACAAACUCUUUUGAAUUUUUCAGUAUCUUCUGAGUAAAAAAAACAAUAAAUCAAAACUUUCAACAACGGAUCUCUUGGUUCUGGCAUCGAUGAAGAACGCAGCGAAAUGCGAUAAGUAAUGUGAAUUGCAGAAUUCAGUGAAUCAUCGAAUCUUUGAACGCACAUUGCGCCCGCCAGUAUUCUGGCGGGCAUGCCUGUUCGAGCGUCAUUUCAACCCUCAAGCACCUUCGGGAGCUUGGUGUUGGGGAUCGGCAGGGCGUCCUCCGGGUCGCGCCGUCCCCCAAAUCUAGUGGCGGUCUCGCUGUAGCUUCCUCUGCGUAGUAAUACACCUCGCUCUGGAGUCUCGGUGCGGCCACGCCGUAAAACCCCCAACUUUUUUCUGGUUGACCUCGAAUCAGGUAGGACUACCCGCUGAACUUAA